AAGAAGAAGAAGAAGAAAAUAGUUAGAACUCCCGUCGGCCUCAAGCCGGUCACCGGUGUCCUUGUCCUCCAUCUCUGUUUUUCUU
Molecule: small RNA, 85 nt
Filed under: Salix viminalis (osier)
Lineage: Eukaryota; Viridiplantae; Streptophyta; Magnoliopsida; Malpighiales; Salicaceae
Source: RNAcentral